RNAcentral lists this long non-coding RNA (958 nucleotides) under Monodelphis domestica (gray short-tailed opossum). Its description in RNAcentral is "lncRNA (ENSMODG00000042922.1)". Lineage: Eukaryota; Metazoa; Chordata; Mammalia; Didelphimorphia; Didelphidae. The record is from RNAcentral.
GGUCUGUGAGUCACCUCACCACAUUAUACCAGAACUAACAGAGACUUCAGAAGAGCAGAACAUAGAAUGGUAGACCCGCAGUUAGUUCUUCCUGCUCUUGCUGUGGGUAGGAGCUGCUAAGCUUUCUCCCUUGUUUGGCUUUCUUUCAUCGCUAUUGUUUUUUCUCCUUUUGGGCAUCUCAGACUGUUCUUAUUCUGGCUAAGUGUCUCUGCUUCUUCUUCAUCAGUCUUGAUAUAUGCAACUUUAAGAAGAGCAAGAACAGUAAAUACACAACAGGGGUGGAUACUUUUUUUAUUACCUUCUGUGACAAGACUCUUGAACUUUGGAGUAGCUUUUCCCUGAUAAGGAUCUUGGAGACAGUUCUAUUACAUGUGAAAUUUGGAAAUUCUCUUCUGAGGAAGAAAGAAGAAGCCUUCUUAGUGAUUAAUGAUUCCUUUGGAGACUUGACUAUAACUCAUAUCCUCCUGAAGAUUUUUUCUCUCCAGUUUGAUGAUCCAGUUGGACAGUUUCUAGUUGUUUGUCAUUCCUCAGAUCAGAAUGGUACAUCUUCUGGACUGGUGAGGACAGCAAAUGAUGGUGGCACAGAUCAAUGGCAAGAGUCUGAUUAGAAUGAGAAGAAAUCAUUGGUUCAACCCAGAGACAUUACAGGGGUCUAGGGGCGGGGUACAGUAAUCUCUCCAGGUCUUGUAUUCUGGGGCUGGUAUCUGUGAAUAUGUCCGAUGGCUGUACAUUAGAUAUAUCAAAUUAGAUAUCCUGUAUACAUAUUAAACUCAAUCUAUCCAAAACUAAACUCAUUAUCUUUUCCCCAAAACUCUCCCCUCUUUCAGACUUUUCUAUUAUUUUUUAGGACAUCACCAUGGCACCUAGACAGUCCCCCAGGCACACAAACUAGAUAUUAUAUUUGAUUCCUCAUUAUCUCUCAACCCCCCCUCCAAGCCCAUAUCAAUCUAUUGCCAAC